This 27-nucleotide small RNA is filed under the name Bombyx mori (domestic silkworm). Its description in RNAcentral is "ovarian small RNA-4399". Lineage: Eukaryota; Metazoa; Arthropoda; Insecta; Lepidoptera; Bombycidae. The record is from RNAcentral.
ACCGGUGUAAAAUCCUGUCGUGCGGUC